Molecule: non-coding RNA, 30 nt
Filed under: Rattus norvegicus (Norway rat)
Lineage: Eukaryota; Metazoa; Chordata; Mammalia; Rodentia; Muridae
Source: RNAcentral
UAGUGAUCGAGAUGUAGCAAACCUGGGUUA